Molecule: long non-coding RNA, 684 nt
Organism: Amphiprion ocellaris (clown anemonefish)
Lineage: Eukaryota; Metazoa; Chordata; Actinopteri; Pomacentridae
Source: Ensembl
CUAAGUGAUGCAGCAGCAGGCUGGUGUAGCUCCGGGCUCCAGGAGGGGGACAGGGAGUGCACGGCUGCCACACGCCCGCUUCUCUCCACCGCAGCUCGUGCAGCCGUGCCAGUGUCAGGCGGCGCAAGAAUCAAACUUUUCUGUACAUUUUCACGUCACCUGGACGCGAAACAUAAAUCUGGCAUCCUAUGCAAAUAUAUGCUGACGUAAAAGAUCAUGUGGUUUUUGUCGUCGAUCCCCCCUAUGAGCAACGAGGAGGCUUUUUUUUCUCCUCUCUACUGUUGUCUUUAGGUUAGCUAUGCUACAAUCUUUACUGUACCCAGCGCUAGCUAUAUGCGCCCCGCACCGCACCACUCUGGAUAUCUGGGAAUAAUCAACUUCCAGCCUGUCGCACCCUGCAACCGGAGACCGCACACAGAUCCUGUGGGAGAUUACCCAGAGUGCCGCCGGCCCGAGGAUCAUCCAGAGAAGGAGGGAGGUAGAGGAGGACGGACAGCGUUUAGGAGGAGGAGGAGGAGCCUCGAGCGAGAAGACUCAGCCCCCUGCAGUGAAGCCCCUCCCCCUCAGAGGAAGUAAAGACUCGGCGGACUCGAGGAAGAAUUUGUGGGUUUUUUUACACUCCCACAUGCAGUAAACAGCAGUCGGUCUCAUUGCAUAAGACCUUCGAAAGUUCAUCUGGUUUCG